RNAcentral lists this long non-coding RNA (239 nucleotides) under Homo sapiens (human). RNAcentral's name for it is "non-protein coding lnc-NDUFAF2-4:1". The record is from RNAcentral. Lineage: Eukaryota; Metazoa; Chordata; Mammalia; Primates; Hominidae.
AAAAGAUCAGAGUGCUAUGUUUAAAAAAAAAAAAAAUCACAGAACCAAAAAAAAAAAAAAAAAAAAGCUUUUGGAAGUUAAAAUUGCAGUAGCAAAUAUAAAGGGAGUUUAGAUAAAAUAGGAGAUACAUAUUGAAGGCAGAAUUUAUGAUUAAAAAAAAAAAAAAAAAAAAGGUAAGUAAGGACAUGAUAAAAACAAGAUAGGCUGUGUGUGAGGAGAAGAUGGUAGAUGAAGGUUAU